CACUAUUCGGGUACUUCUAUUUUUAGCAGCAAACAUGGACUGGCCAUUAUAUCAGUUCGAUGUAAAAAAUGCUUUCUUACAUGGAGACUUAGAAGAAGAAGUCUAUAUGGAUCCCCCUCCAGGAUGUAAGAAGGUGUUAAAUCAGAUCAAUAUGGUAUGUAAGCUGAGAAAAUCUCUUUAUGGAUUGAAACAAUCACCAAGAGCAUGGUUUGGGAGGUUCAGCAAAUCAAUGAAGAAUUUCGGCUACAAACAAAGUAACUCGGAUCAUACCCUUUUCUUGAAACAUAGGAAAGGUAAGGUCACAGCCCUUAUUGUGUAUGUUGAUGACAUGGUGGUUACCGGGAAUGAUCUUGAAGAAAAGACAGCAUUACAACGUCAUUUAGAGAGUGAGUUUGAGAUGAAGGAUCUCGGUGCUCUAAAGUAUUUUUUGGGUAUUGAAGUAGCUCGCUCGAAACAUGGAAUAUUUUUCUCACAGCGGAAGUAUACCCUUAACAUUUUGACUAAAACAGGAAUGCUAGCUUGCCAACCAGCAGAGACUCCGAUGGAAGAAAAUCACAAACUUGGUGAAUAUCUUGACCAAGUUCCCACCAACAAAGAAAGAUAUCAAUGCCUUGUGGGUAAGUUGAUAUAUCUAUCAUAUACUAGACCUGACAUAGCAUAUGCAGUAAGCGUGGUUAGCCAAUUCAUGCAUUCGCCAAGUGAAGCUCACAUGGAUGCUGUGAACAGAAUUCUGAGAUACUUGAAGUCAGCUCCUGGAAAAGGAUUAAUGUUCUUACAUCAUGGUCAUCCAGAUGUUGAAGGUCAUACUGAUGCAGAUUGGCCAGAUUCUAUUAAUGCUAGGAGAUCUACAUCUGGAUAUUUUACUUUUGUAGGAGGUAAUCUGGUCACUUGGCGGAGUAAAAAACAAAAAGUGGUAUCAAGGUCUAGUGCUGAAGCAGAAUAUAGGGGUAUGGCAUAUGGAGUAUGUGAACUACUCUGGAUUAGGAACUUGAUGACAGAUUUGGGAUUCAAACCUAAACAUGCAAUGAAAUUACAUUGUGACAACAAAGCUGCAAUUGACAUUGCACAUAAUCCAGUGCAACACGAUAGAACCAAACAUGUUGAAGUUGAUAGACAUUUCAUUAAAGAAAAGCUUGAGGCUAAGAUUAUUAAAUUACCAUUUGUUAAAUCCGAAGAUCAACUUGCAGAUGUACUCACCAAAGCAGUUAAAGGAAGAGUUUUUCACAGCUCAAUUAGCAAGUUAGGCAUGGACGACAUAUAUGCUCCAACUUGAGGGGGAGUGUCAAAUGAGCUGUAUUAAGCCUCAAAGGGAAAGAAUCAAUCCAUAUUAUGCAAG
This 1336-nucleotide long non-coding RNA is filed under the name Olea europaea subsp. europaea. The record is from RNAcentral. Lineage: Eukaryota; Viridiplantae; Streptophyta; Magnoliopsida; Lamiales; Oleaceae.